Molecule: ribosomal RNA, 492 nt
Filed under: uncultured bacterium
Lineage: Bacteria
Description: partial 16S ribosomal RNA
Rfam family: Bacterial small subunit ribosomal RNA
Source: RNAcentral
AGUGAACGCUGGCGGUAGGCCUAACACAUGCAAGUCGAACGGCAGCACAGUAAGAGCUUGCUCUUACGGGUGGCGAGUGGCGGACGGGUGAGGAAUACAUCGGAAUCUACUUUUUCGUGGGGGAUAACGUAGGGAAACUUACGCUAAUACCGCAUACGACCUACGGGUGAAAGCAGGGGAUCUUCGGACCUUGCGCGAUUGAAUGAGCCGAUGUCGGAUUAGCUAGUUGGCGGGGUAAAGGCCCACCAAGGCGACGAUCCGUAUCUGGUCUGAGAUGAUGAUCAGCCACACUGGAACUGAGACACGGUCCAAACUCCUACGGGAGGCAGCAGUGGGGAAUAUUGGACAAUGGGCGCAAGCCUGAUCCAACCAUACCGCGUGGGUGAAGAAGGCCUUCGGGUUGUAAAGCCCUUUUGUUGGGAAAGAAAAGCAGCAGGUUAAUACCCCGCUGUUCUGACGGUACCCAAAGAAUAAGCACCGGCUAACUUCGUG